AUACGGAGGGUGCAAGCGUUAAUCGGAAUUACUGGGCGUAAAGCGUACGUAGGCGGUUAAGUCAGUCAGAUGUGAAAGCCCUGGGCUCAACCUGGGAACUGCAUUUGAUACUGCUUGGCUAGAAUAUGGUAGAGGGAAGUGGAAUUCCGGGUGUAGCGGUGAAAUGCGUAGAUAUCCGGAGGAACACCAGUGGCGAAGGCGGCUUCCUGGACCAAUAUUGACGCUGAGGUACGAAAGCGUGGGUAGCAAACAGGAUUAGAUACCCCUGUAGUCC
This 274-nucleotide ribosomal RNA is filed under the name uncultured bacterium. RNAcentral describes it as "partial 16S ribosomal RNA". It matches the Rfam family "Bacterial small subunit ribosomal RNA", at positions 523 to 796 of the family's 1533-position model. The record is from RNAcentral.